ACACACCCUCAUGCAUUACUGCACCACAGGCCCAAAAGCAGCUGGGGCGAUUUAUUGAGGUGUGGAAACUCUGAGUCUAUAAGCCAAAAUAAACUUUUCUCCUUUUAAAGUUAAAUGUCUCCAGUAUUUUCUUAAAUAUGGAAAAUUAGCCCAGAACAGUCAUAACUUAAACUGCUGUGAACACUCAGGGUACACAGUUUCACACAACUCUAGUUAUGUCAAUUAGAUAAAGUGCUAGAAAGGGAAUUUCUGAAUCUAUGAGUAUGUAGCUUUUUCAGACUUUUGUGUAGAGAAGCCCCCCCCCUACACCCAGUGUGAAAGAGAAGAGCGAUUCUCUUCGUCACUAACAACCGUUCUUUAAAACCUCUCUCAGGAUCGCUUCAUUUUUGCAGUGCCAGAAGUCAAACCGAGGACCUCAAACACGCUAAGCAAACAAUUACCCAACACCCUACACCUUUGACCUGGUUAUUUAUCAACUUUAAGUGAAUGAAUUGUGUCACAAAUGAGUCACUAUCAUCAUGUUUCUGAUGAAUGGAACAUUCUAGAAAAUGUCCUGGCCCAAGUGUAAGAUAUUCAGGAGUCGCUAAAGAUUCGGAAGAGACAGGUGAAGACAGAAAAGAGAGGGACCCCUUCCCUCUCAGCUAUGUUCGGGGUUGACUGAUUCCACCUCAACGACGCUGGUGUUCUACCCUCACCACGAUACUGAAGACAAUGCCCAGACCACAGUUCUGAGGAAGACAGAGUUCAUGGGGAUUUGGAUGGGAAUGGGAUGGAAGGACACUAACAUCUUUCACCUGAACAUCAGGGUGGCUGUGUCAUUGCUGCAGUGCCUGGACCAAGACCUGCCUUCGAGUUCCUGCCUUGAUGCCUUCAGCGAUGCACUGUGACUUGGAGUUGUAAGUAAACCUGAAUUGCUUAUGGUCGGGCAGUUUUAUCACAGCAACAAAAAUGAAAUGUGAACAGAGGGCGAAACUUGAGAAAUUCAACUGCCCUGAAAAGACCUCACGUGUCCCCUCCGUCUUUGCUUCUGAGACAAUGAAAUUGAAACAGCCUCAGAGACCAUGUAAAAGGAAGAUCAAGCAAGGGGCAAAAACAUUAUCCUGUUAUCCAGACCGAGAUCUUUUUGCAUUGAGAUCUGCCAAGUGCUUCUAGUCAAACUUCAAGCUCUGAAGCUUUCACUUAGGCUACGCCAAAUCGGGAGAAAUAGGAAGGUGGGAGAAAGGACUGCUCUGGACGAAUCAAAACAACACUCCACAGGAAGCAAGAACACCGGGAAACCAGACAAAGUCCACCGAUUUAUUAAAAGAACCUCUUGUUUCCACAACAUUCUAUGGAGUUAAGUCCAGGCUGAAAAGGAAGGCCCAUCCUCCCAGUAUGGCACAAAUGUGAACAAGCAGCCUCAAGGUCCUGAUGCCGCAGCUCCGAGCUUCCAAGAUGUCUGCCGUGAUUCCUCGGCCAUGACGAGUUGCAGCCUCCGAAAGCCUGAACUGAACCACAGUCUUCCUCUUUAGCGUUCCUUCGGCCGGGUAUUUGCUAUGGCAACCAGAGAAGUUUCCAGAACCUCAUGAGCCUUCCAACCUCGAAGUUCCCUGUAAGCAUAGAGGAGUAUUAACAACGCUUUAAAACCCGGCACGGAUUCCUGUUCCAGGCAAAAACUUGGCAAUUUCUUCUCAUGAAUCAUCUUCCAGUGGUGCUAUUCCACACCAGCAGAAGAAUUAUGUGAGGCCACAGUCUUGGCUGGCCUGUUCUCAAAGAAAACACACAGCCCCAAAUUCCAUGUGGUGUUUGAAUUGGCCCUCAGAUCCUGCACCCGGUCGGCCCGUGAAGCCGAGUGAAGACGGACUCUCAUGCGAAUGCUGUGGGGAUGUCUGUCUAGACUCAGCAGAAGGGAUGGCGCUGCCUAGAUGAUUGCAUCAUAAUACCCACCCCCAGAAUUCUGCUGUGCCCAUUCAUGGAGUGGAACAUGAGCCGAGCCUGUCCCACUUUUAACAAUUCAGCCAUCCAGCUAUUGUCUUCCCAGGUCUACUGCACACCAGAGGAAAGAAAGAGACAUCUAAGAGGUCGCAGUCAGCCAAGGGACACUGGGAAAAUACAGUAUGGACAAGUGGUGUCCCCAAGGCCAUGAGGAUUAGAAUGUGGAAAAUACCCAUCAACCUAACUCAGAUAAACACGGAAAAGGGGGCAUGACGCAGUCUCCAGCUUCAAGCCCUUUAUGUACACAUAGAAAAUACACAUCAGAACACACACACACACACACACACACACACAUGCACGCACACACACGCACACACACACAUUGAUCGUGCCAUGCUUUGCAGGACUUCGAUAAAGUUCAGACAAAGGAAAAUGGAAGACCAGCUACCUCAAAUGCCAUUCUCAGACUGGGUUCGGGGACACAUAAUUGUGAAUCCCAGAAUUCAGGAGGCCAAGGCAGGAGGCUCAGGAGACCGGGACCAGCCUGGUCUGCAUAGUGCAGCACCACUGAAGCAACAACAACCGAAGAUUCCCAUCACAGACAGGUAUGCACAAAAACCGUUUCCCUCUUCUUAAAUGACCUCAUCUCUUCACACAGCUUCCAAAAGGAGAGAAGCUUCCAUAUCACUUGUCACCAUCACAAAACGUAUGAAAACGAGAUGGGGCGCGGUAAGUUAUUUUGGCCCACGGGCUUCAAGUUGAAGUUGUGUAUUUCCCUAAGGGGACAAAAAUAGAACAUUUAUUAAAUGGCGAGUUAUUCGAAAACCAGCACAGGCCCCAGUUGUCUUUCAAAAGCUCUGAUUUACUGCAUAUGUCUCCCUUGAGGAAAGCCUUUUUUAAAAUGUUCAUUUCCAUUUUAAGAGACUCUGGGAUCUGAUCUGUUGGGAGGGUUCUCGCUGUCUCCCUGACUGGGGCUCCUCCGUACUUGAGGCAGAAUUGGGGCCUUGCUCUCAGGACCUGUAUCUCUCCAUAGCUUCCGCCUGGCGUCUGAACAUCAACACCUGAAAAUGCAUUGUCAUUCUAAUUAAUCUGAAGGUCCCACCAUCGGGUGACAUCUUUACACCCCAGUAAAAAGCCUGGAACAGUAGCUAAAAGGCAGAUGAGAUGUACUUUGGCGUUCUAACACCCCAAAGCCUGUGCCAGGUCAUUCCUUUCUAUGUUAAUCCAAAAUUUCAUAAUAAAUUGAAUCUUGUUGCUAAAGUAAACAUACAGUCAUAGAAAUCUUAGACUGUCUUUUGCAUCAGAAAACAUUCCAACCUAUGUUUUACUCUGUUUGGGUAACAGUGACACCUGUGGGGAACCAGCUGGUUAGAGCUGUUGAGUUCUAGACAAGUUGA
RNAcentral lists this small RNA (3311 nucleotides) under Rattus norvegicus (Norway rat). Its description in RNAcentral is "uncharacterized LOC102550662". Lineage: Eukaryota; Metazoa; Chordata; Mammalia; Rodentia; Muridae. The record is from RNAcentral.